This 236-nucleotide unclassified non-coding RNA is filed under the name plant metagenome. RNAcentral describes it as "partial contains small subunit ribosomal RNA, internal transcribed spacer 1, and 5.8S ribosomal RNA". The record is from RNAcentral.
UUUCCGUAGGUGAACCUGCGGAAGAAUCAUUACUGAGUGAGGGCCCCUCGGGGUCCAACCUCCCACCCGUGUUUAACGAACCUUGUUGCUUCGGCGGGCCCGCCUCACGGCCGCCGGGGGGCAUCUGCCCCCGGGCCCGCGCCCGCCGAAGCCACCUGUGAACGCUGUCUGAAGUAUGCAGUCUGAGACAAUUAUUAAAUUAAUUAAAACUUUCAACAACGGAUCUCUUGGUUCCG